CCUACGGGUGGCAGCAGUGGGGAAUAUUGGACAAUGGGGGCAACCCUGAUCCAGCCAUGCCGCGUGUGUGAAGAAGGCCCUCGGGUUGUAAAGCACUUUCAGUGAGGAAGAACGCCUGGUGGUUAAUACCCAUCAGGAAAGACAUCACUCACAGAAGAAGCACCGGCUAACUCCGUGCCAGCAGCCGCGGUAAUACGGAGGGUGCGAGCGUUAAUCGGAAUUACUGGGCGUAAAGCGCGCGUAGGUGGCUUGAUAAGCCGGUUGUGAAAGCCCCGGGCUCAACCUGGGAACGGCAUCCGGAACUGUCAAGCUAGAGUGCAGGAGAGGAAGGUAGAAUUCCCGGUGUAGCGGUGAAAUGAGUAGAGAUCGGGAGGAAUACCAGUGGCGAAGGCGGCCUUCUGGACUGACACUGACACUGAGGUGCGAAAGCGUGGGUAGCAAACAGGAUUAGAUACCCUUGUAGUC
RNAcentral lists this ribosomal RNA (465 nucleotides) under Vreelandella stevensii. Its description in RNAcentral is "partial 16S ribosomal RNA". It matches the Rfam family "Bacterial small subunit ribosomal RNA", at positions 338 to 795 of the family's 1533-position model. The record is from RNAcentral. Lineage: Bacteria; Pseudomonadati; Pseudomonadota; Gammaproteobacteria; Oceanospirillales; Halomonadaceae.